GAUGAACGCUAGCGGCAGGCUUAACACAUGCAAGUCGAGGGGCAGCACGUCUUUGGAUGGUGGCGACCGGCGCACGGGUGAGUAACGCGUAUGCAAUCUACCUUUUACAGGGGCAUAGCCCGGGGAAACCCGGAUUAAUAUCCUAUAGUACCAUUAUAUAGCAUUAUAUUAUGGUUAAAGUUUCGGCGGUAAAAGAUGAGCAUGCGUCCUAUUAGCUUGAUGGUAAGGUAACGGCUUACCAUGGCUAUGAUAGGUAGGGGUCCUGAGAGGGAGACCCCCCACACUGGUACUGAGACACGGACCAGACUCCUACGGGAGGCAGCAGUGAGGAAUAUUGGACAAUGGGCGCAAGCCUGAUCCAGCCAUGCCGCGUGCAGGAAGACGGCCCUAUGGGUUGUAAACUGCUUUUAUACGGGAAGAAACACCCCUUCGUGAAGGGACUUGACGGUACCGUAUGAAUAAGGAUCGGCUAACUCCGUGCCAGCAGCCGCGGUAAUACGGAGGAU
RNAcentral lists this ribosomal RNA (506 nucleotides) under uncultured bacterium. Its description in RNAcentral is "bacterial SSU rRNA". It matches the Rfam family "Bacterial small subunit ribosomal RNA", at positions 28 to 533 of the family's 1533-position model. The record is from RNAcentral.